Molecule: ribosomal RNA, 254 nt
Filed under: uncultured bacterium
Lineage: Bacteria
Description: partial 16S ribosomal RNA
Rfam family: Bacterial small subunit ribosomal RNA
Source: RNAcentral
UACGUAGGUGGCAAGCGUUGUCCGGAUUUAUUGGGUUUAAAGGGUGCGUAGGCGGUUCAGUAAGUCGGGUGUGAAAACUUUGGGCUUAACCCAAAGCGUGCAUCUGAUACUGCUGUGACCUGAGUUCGGUAGGGGAGUGGGGAAUUCCUAGUGUAGCGGUGAAAUGCGCAGAUAUUAGGAGGAACACCGGUGGCGAAGGCGCCACUCUGGGCCGAAACUGACGCUGAGGAGCGAAAGCAUGGGUAGCAAACAGG